CACGUAGGGGGCGAGCGUUUGUCCGGAUUUAUUGGGCGUAAAGAGCUCGUAGGCGGUUUGUCGCGUCUGCUGUGAAAACCCGAGGCUCAACCUCGGGCCUGCAGUGGGUACGGGCAGACUAGAGUGCGGUAGGGGAGAUUGGAAUUCCUGGUGUAGCGGUGGAAUGCGCAGAUAUCAGGAGGAACACCAAUGGCGAAGGCAGAUCUCUGGGCCGUAACUGACGCUGAGGAGCGAAAGCAUGGGGAGCGAACAGG
This 254-nucleotide ribosomal RNA is filed under the name uncultured bacterium. RNAcentral describes it as "partial 16S ribosomal RNA". It matches the Rfam family "Bacterial small subunit ribosomal RNA", at positions 524 to 776 of the family's 1533-position model. The record is from RNAcentral.